Non-coding RNA from Callithrix jacchus (white-tufted-ear marmoset), 1198 nucleotides. Lineage: Eukaryota; Metazoa; Chordata; Mammalia; Primates; Cebidae. The record is from RefSeq and is a predicted model, not a curated record.
CACUGGGCAGACAAUAGGCAGACCCAGGAUAUGUCUAACUGUAAUCUGGGUGAGAGAAAUGUGAAGCUGGGUUUGUAUUCUAAACUGUCAGCUUGGGGAAGUUCCUCUCCUCACCUGCAAAAUGGGCAUCACCUGCCUUUAUGCACAGGGCCGUGUGGGGCUACAUGAAAUAACAGAAGAGUGGGCAGGUUACUUGGUAAACUGUCAACAUAGGAAGUAUUGUGCCAGAAAACCUGCACUUCCAAAGAAAGAGCACUUAAAAGACACGAAUCCUACUACUGCUGUAGGAGAGUAUGCACGGCAGGCAGGUGAUCUCCUAAGGCAGGUGGUCAAUCCCCAACUAAUCCUAGAAAUAGGAAGGAAUGAGGAGACCUGGUCUCAAUCCCUCUACCACUGCAAGCUCUUUGUGACUCCCCACAUGGAGAUACCCCCAAACCCACCCUAAGAACUGGCAUUUCAUGCUUGAGAAGGCCUCUGUUCUAACCUCACUGGUCUUACCUGUUGCUUCAUUAGGAACACCUGCUCAUCUUCUGCUGCCAACUCUUUGUCAUGGACCAGCUGUGAAGCAAUAUACACAUCUGUGGCCACAGGCCAAGAAUACUCCCAACCACUGUUUAUGCCGAAAGAAGAGUCUGAGGUUCGGGCUUCAACACAGGUCUGGGGAAUCCCUGCUGAGACUGCAGAGUAAUAUUUUUCUAGCCUGGCACAGACCUCUCCCAAAACCAGCCAUGGCAUGUAGUCAACUGGCAUUUUUGUCUGCAGAACAUCACAUGAGGGGAUCCAGUAAUAGUAAUCCAGAGGCAACAGCAGCACUGGCAGGACUUAAUGGGAAACACCACCAACUCCAGAAUCUCGCUGUCGCCAGGUUGGAGUACAGUGGCGCAACCUGGGCUCACUACAACCUCUGCCUCCCAGGUUCAAGCAAUUCUCAUGCCUCAGCCUCCCAAGUAGCUGGGAUUACAGGUGCCCAACACCAUGCCCAGCUAAUUUUUGUAUUUUCAAUAGAGAUGAGGUUUUGCCAUGUUGGCCAGGCUGAUCUCAAACUCCUGACGACCUCAGGUGAUCCACCCACCUUGGCCUCCCAAAGUGCUGGGAUUAUAUGCAUGAAUCACCAUGCUCGGCCCUAAAUCCUUUAAGCAAUUGAUGUGACUACCUUUCUGAUGGGAGGUUUCACAAUAAAGUCUUCAUAUGCAUCUUC